Brassica oleracea var. oleracea is the source of this 4903-nucleotide RNA transcript. It is a transcript of the gene named disease resistance protein TAO1-like, with no coding region annotated. The record is from RefSeq and is a predicted model, not a curated record. NCBI's taxonomy places the organism in Eukaryota, Viridiplantae, Streptophyta, Magnoliopsida, Brassicales, Brassicaceae. The transcript has 7 exons.
CGCGUCCUUACUCUUUUACGUGGGAUAUGAUUUAUGAGCCACACUCAUAGAAAGCCUCUUUUUCUUAUCUCUUCUUCAGAUCUGAAAAGCUUAGUGAUCGUCUUGAUCUUGCUGAUGUUAUCCAUGGCUUCUUCUUCAUCUCUGUCUCGCAGUUGGUUGUAUCAAGUCUUUCUGAGCUUCCGUGGUGUAGACGUGCGCAAAGGCUUUCUUAGUCACGUUCGGAAAGGGCUCGAAAGCAAAGGAAUCAUAGCUUUUGUUGAUGACGAGAUGGAGCGAGGCGAAUCUGUCGGUCCCCUGCUUGUAGGAGCGAUCAGACAAUCAAGGGUUGCUAUUGUCUUGCUCUCCAGUAACUACGCUUCUUCAAGCUGGUGUCUGGAUGAGUUAGUGGAGAUCAUGAAGUGCAGAGAUGAGUAUAAAAAACCAGUGCUGCCCAUUUUCUACAAAGUGGAUCCAUCUGAUGUUAGGAAACAGAAAGGAGAUUUUGGAAAAGUCUUUGAUGAAACCUGUUUGGGAAAAACAGAAGAGGUGAAAGAGACAUGGAGGAAAGCUUUGAAGGAUGUCGCGGGUAUAGCUGGUUAUGACAACUGUGACAGUGAAGCUGAUUUGAUCAACAAAGUUGCCUCAGAUGUCACGGCUGUGUUGGGUUUUACACCAUCAAAAGACUUUGAUAACUUUGUUGGCAUCGAACGUCGAAUCAUAGAUAUAAAAUCGAAGUUCAUCCUACAAUCGGAACAAGUUAAGAUGAUUGUGCUUGUGGGUCCUGCCGGGAUUGGGAAGACGACCACUGCCAGAGUUUUAUACAACCAACUCUCUCCUGGUUUUCCAUUCAGCACGUUUUUGGAGAAUAUCAGAGGAAAUUAUGAGAAGCCUUGUGGUAACGACUAUUCGCUGAAGUUGCGUUUUCAUCAAAAUUUGUUGUCUCAACUACUCAACCAAAAGGAUAUUGUGGUUGGUCACUUAGGAGUGGCUCAAAAUAUGCUGAGUGACAAAAAGGUGUUGGCUGUUCUUGAUGAAGUGGAUAACUUGUGGCAACUCCAGGAAAUGGCAAAGCAGCGCAAAUGGGUUGGUCCGGGAAGUAUUAUUAUCAUUACAACCGAAGAUAUAAAGCUUCCCAAGGCACUUGGACUUGGGACCGGUCAUAUCUACAAGAUGGAAUUUCCAACUAGCUAUGAGUCUCUUCAGAUCUUUUGCCAAUAUGCUUUCGAUCAGAACUCUCCAUAUCAUGGUUUUGAAGAGCUUGCUAGGGAAGUUACCUGGCUUGCUGGUAAUCUUCCUCUAGGUCUGAGAGUUAUGGGAUCGUAUCUACGAGGAAUGUCCAAGGAGUACUGGAUAAAGGCACUACCAAGGCUCAGGUCUAGCCUUAACACAGAAAUUGAAUCAACUCUAAGAUUUAGCUAUGACGCCUUAAGUGAUAAAGAUAAAGCUCUUUUCCUGCAUAUUGCAUGUUUCUUUUCUCGUGUGUACUGCAAAGUUGAUAGCGUUAAGAGGUAUCUUGAAAAAAGUGGUUUGGACGUCGACCAUGGGCUUGAUGUCUUAGCCCAUAAAUCUCUUAUAUCUAUAGAUUACAGUGGAUACGUAAAGAUGCAUAGUUUACUGCAACAAUUGGGUAGAGAAAUUGUCAAGAAACAGUCUUUGAAAGAGCGACAGUUCUUGAUGGAUGCCAAGGAGAUUUCUGAUUUACUUGAAGAAAAUACUGUUAAUGGAGAAGUUCUGGGAAUAAUGUUGGAUGCUUCAAAUCAGAGCGAGGAAGUCCAUAUAAGUAAAAGCGCUUUCGAAGGGAUGAAUAGUCUCCAGUUUCUAACAGUCUACUCUGAUAAAUUAUGCAUACCCGAAGGCCUCAUCUGUCUUCCCGAAAAACUCAGAUUGCUACGUUGGAACUCCUGUAAAUUGAGAUUUUGGCCUUCCAAGUUCUCUGCCGAGUUUCUUGUCAAACUUAUCAUGCCAAAUAGCAAGUUUGAGAAGCUUUGGGAGGGAAUAAAACCUCUCCAUUGCCUCAAGCUGAUGGAUUUGCGUAACUCUUGGUAUCUGAAAGAGAUUCCAGAUCUCUCAAAUGCAACGAGUCUUGAGGAAUUAGAUCUCCAUGGCUGCACAAGUUUGUUAGAGAUCACAAGCUCUAUUGGCAAUGCCACCAAGCUUAAAAAAUGCGAUCUUAGCGAUUGUUUGCUUUUGAAGGAGCUCCCCUCUUCUAUCAGUAGGUUAAUCAAUCUCAAGGAAUUAGACCUCUGUGGUUGCGAGAGUUUAAAAGCACUCAGUGUUUUCUCGAGUUUGGAAAAACUCAGUGGUUGUUCGAGUUUGAAAGAACUCAGUCUGACCCAUACUGCGAUAGAGGAAGUGCCAUUAUCAAUGAGCACUUGGUCUUGUCUUUAUAAAUUGAAUAUGUCAGAAUGUAGAAACCUCAAGGAGUUCCCUAAUGUUCCAGACAGCAUUGUAGAGUUGGUGUUGUGCAAGACAAGGAUAGAAGAGGUUCCUUCAUGGAUCGGGAAUCUGUUUCGUCUCCGUAAACUAAUUAUGUAUGGAUGCAAGAAGCUGAAAACUAUAUCUCCAAACAUUUCCAAGUUGGAUAAUCUUGAGUUUCUUGGUCUACGUAAAGAUGGCGAAUAUGAGUAUGAUGAUGAAUUUGUCGGAGAAUCUGGUUUAAAAUUAUUUGAAGCAGUUAUUAAGUGGGGACCUGACUUGAAUCACAGUUGGAAAUUACGAUCAGACUUCAGAGUUCACCAUAUUUUACCGAUAUGUCUACCCAAGAAGGCUUUUACAUCUCCAGUGUCAUUAUGUUUACGUUGUGUUGGUUUGAAGACUAUUCCAGAUUGCAUCAGACGUCUCUCUGGACUAAGUAAGCUUGUCAUCACAAUGUGCAGAAAGCUCCGAGCACUUCCACAGCUUCCAGAUUCCCUUAUAUCUAUUAAUGCACACGGUUGUGAAUCCUUGGAGAGUAUAGACUCCUCCUCUUUUCAAAAUCCAGAUAUUUGCCUAAACUUUUAUGGCUGUUUCUACCUGAAUCAAAAAGCCAGAAAGAUCAUCGAGACAUCAGCUUGCAAAUAUGCGCUCUUACCUGGUAGAAAAGUGCCUGCACAUUUCACUCAUCGAGCUACUUCAGAUUCCCUAACGAUCAAUUUGACUCCAACACCUCUGCCUUCAUCCAUCAGAUUCAAAGCUUGCAUCUUGCUGCCAAGACACUCUCGUUUGGGUACUGUGUCUUGUAGUGUCAGCGGUAAACAGAAUGACCUCACUGUGGAAUAUGGAUCAAACCAGCUCCAUCAUAUGCCAUAUAUCAAUGAACCUGAAGUCCAUCUGUAUAUAUUUGAAGAUUCUUUUAGUCUAAACCAGGAUUACCCUGAAACUGAAGAAACCACUUUCAGAAAGCUUUCUUUUGUGUUCAGACUCCAUGAUGAAAACGUGAAGAUCAAAGGCUGCGGUGUACAACUUUUGGAAGUCCCUCAUUGUAUUACUGAUGAAAACGCAGAUAAUUGUAAUGAUGAUAAUAAUGAUGGUGAUGGUGAUGCUGGUGAUGGUGAUGAAACUGAUGAUGAUGGUGAAGAACAAGAAUACGAAAGUGAUGCUUAUGACAGAAGAUUUGACUAUUCCCACCCAAAUCAAAAAUGGAAAAAUCUCAUCCGGACAUCAGAUUGCGAAUCCGCGCUUGUAGAGGGUGUAGAAGUGCCUGCAGACUUCACUCACCAAGCUACUUCAGGUUCCCUAACGAUUAAUAUAACUCCAAGGUCUCUUCCUUCAUCCGUCAGAUUCAAAGCUUGCAUCUUGCUGUCAAGAGACAAAAUUAAUCUCGAGGAUUACUAUGGUAACGAUAAUGAAGACGGUGUGCCUUUUAACUAUGAUGACGAUGAGGAUGAGGAUGAUGAAGAGGAUGAGAAUUUAUUGAUGCGUGUGUCUUGUAGCUUCAUGGGGGAGCAGAAUGGCCUCACUGUCUCAUAUGGAUCAAACAAGCACGAUAUGCCUUAUCUAUAUCGAUAUGAAGACUAUCUGUAUACAUUCGAAGAUUCUUUCUGUCUAGACCAGUAUUUCCCUGAAGCCACUUUCAGCAGUCUUAUGUUUCAGUUCGAAGUCUGUUAUAAGAUCUGGAAAAUAAAAGCCUGCGGUGUACAACUUUUGAGGGAUGAAGAAAAUGCAGAUGAUGAUGAUGGUAAAAAAGAAUCCAAAAGUGUUCCUGAAGGCAGCAAAGAGUCUGAAGUUGUCAUUUCUCAUGUGGAAGAGGCUCCCCUGCGACCAACACAUGGAGUUGCGCAAAGAACUUCAUGGUUAAGUUGCUGUGGUUUGUUUGACGUGAUGACAGGAUCCAGUAGAUAACCUCAGGAAACAGAAAGGAGAUUUUGGAAAAGUCUUUGAUGAAACCUGUGUGGGAAAAACAGAAGAGGUGAAGCAAGCAUGGAGGCAAGCUUUGAAAGAUGUCGCUGGUAUAGCUGGUUACCACUCUAGCAACUGUGACGGCUGUGCUGGGUUUUACACCAUCAAAAGUUAGCUAUUGCAGGCUUUUGAAGGAGCUACCCUCUUCUAUGGGUAGGUAACAAUGACGCUGGCUUUUAUGAUGCUGGGAUCGACACAAACAUAGAAGCGAAAAAUGAAACUGAAGAAGGAGAAGAAUCUGGAAGUGAUGAGGACGCAGGCACAAAGGAGCAUGAAACCAAAGAGGUUAAGCCUCGUCUAAGUAAGUGGAAGUUGUGCUGUUUUAGGUAAUGGUGCUCGAGUUUAUAUGUAUGCUCUCGCAUACCAUCAUGAGCGAACCUGUAGCCAUAACUUCUAGGCCGGUUUGACAUCGCCAAGAAACUGAGUGAUUGUGUGUGUUUUGUACGGAAACAGAUUAUGUGCUCAUAUUCAUAGAUUGUGUAUACAAACGUAUGUGUGCCUUUCUUCUAUUUUUUUUGCAAAUACAGUGACUGAUCGAUCGAAUUUU